UGGCUCAGUGGUAGAGCGCUUGCCUUGCAUGCAUGAGGCCCUGGGAUCAAUUCCCCAG
Molecule: transfer RNA, 58 nt
Filed under: Dipodomys ordii (Ord's kangaroo rat)
Lineage: Eukaryota; Metazoa; Chordata; Mammalia; Rodentia; Heteromyidae
Rfam family: tRNA
About the family: Transfer RNA (tRNA) molecules are approximately 80 nucleotides in length. Their secondary structure includes four short double-helical elements and three loops (D, anti-codon, and T loops).
Source: Rfam by way of RNAcentral